AUUUUUAAACCUCCAACGCCUAUCACAUUCAAGUCAUCACAAGAGCUUUGCUAAACCAGAACAAAAUGAGUGAAAGUGAGUUAAAGUAUCUGUAUUCCUGCUGCUUAAAUAAGGGUUUUGCCUCAUAACUUGGUCUACAUACGUGACACCUCUGGUUAUGGCACAAUAAGAGCACAAAAUAAGGUCGAGGGGGGUUGUAAAGAAAAGUUCUGCAGAUCAAGAAAAAUAUCUCUAGUGUGUUCUACAUAGUUUCACGUUCCCCUGGGGAGAAAGGAAUGCCUUUGAAGAGCUGAGGCGACGCGGGCUUGCAUAGACCAUCUUGCUCAUUUCUUCCAAUACUACGGUUCAAUGAGAAGUCAGAACUCAACAUCCCGCAUUGCUGGUAUCUCCAUUUGUCAGCACGAAAACAGCAGUGAGAAUUAAGUUUCUUGAUAGUAGGAACGUUUUCCCUCGUGAGAGGCUUGCAGCUACUCACGCUCACGGUGGGAGUGGAGGGGUUGUUUUCCAAAAGGGAAAACGCGGAGCACUCAGGUUAGCUGGUCCUCGGCCACUCAACAGCGAGGCUGCCAGACCAGGGUGACCAUCUGCCUCCCCAUCCACUAGUCCUUCACGAGGACGUGCCGAAAGCAAGAAUUUAGCGAAGAAACGUAAACGUUGGUAUUCAGAAAAUGGGCACGAUAACCAAACUUUUAAGAGUGGUACAUCUACUUCCGGAAUUCUCUGAGAAUUGACCUCCAAGGCAAGCGCAGCCUAGGCGGGCUCCUGCCCAAGCAAGGUCCUCGGGGGAAAGGGACAAAAUAGGGAAGACGGGGGGUGGACAGCGCAGCCCCUGGGAAAACCUCCCCGGCUGGCUCCCCUUGCAGCCGGCAGACCGAGCGCACCGACCGGGCGCGUCCCACGCCUGAGCCCACGCCCCCUGCCCAUCCCUUCCCUCCCGAGGCACUUACCUGUGGUGCCCGCGGGUGACGGGGUCCUGAAGGCGGCCGUCUCGGCCCAUCCCGAGUGCGGCGAGGGCCGACUCCAGGGUCUGGGGGUCCCGUGCAGCAGACCCACACGACAAGGAUCUCCCGUGUGUCUCAACUGCCGAACCGAGCCCUGAAUAAUAAUCGUAUUUACGUCGUGGAGCUAACCAGCGAGUUCGGUGUUUUAGAUAAGCAAGCCAAGAUGCGGAAGCGACAAGGAGCAGAGCUGAUGAGUACCGCCUUCAGACCUGGUUGCUGCAGCCUUGCCAGGAAACUAGUCUUCGCCAAGUGCCAGCUGGAGUGCACAGGGGCCGGUGGAGGGGCCUGGAGCCUGGACCAUGGGAGAUCCACUGUACACACAGGAGCGGGCAGCCCGGAAUCACCCCUCCCCUAGGAAUUAACACAGUGACAGAAGACUAUGGACUGAUUCAUGCUCCUUACAUUUUAUUGUUAUAUUUUCCAAUGUAGCAGAAAGUAUAUGUAUACUGGUGUGUUUUAAUUCUAAUUAAAAUGUUUUAAACAUUC
This is a long non-coding RNA of Myotis myotis, 1487 nucleotides long. RefSeq lists it as uncharacterized. Lineage: Eukaryota; Metazoa; Chordata; Mammalia; Chiroptera; Vespertilionidae. The transcript is spliced from 2 exons. The record is from RefSeq and is a predicted model, not a curated record.